This 248-nucleotide ribosomal RNA is filed under the name uncultured bacterium. Its description in RNAcentral is "partial 16S ribosomal RNA". It matches the Rfam family "Bacterial small subunit ribosomal RNA", at positions 524 to 771 of the family's 1533-position model. The record is from RNAcentral.
UACGAAGGGGGCUAGCGUUGUUCGGAAUCACUGGGCGUAAAGGGCGCGUAGGCGGCCUGAUAAGUCGGGGGUGAAAGCCUGUGGCUCAACCACAGAAUUGCCUUCGAUACUGUUAGGCUUGAGACCGGAAGAGGUAAGUGGAACUGCGAGUGUAGAGGUGAAAUUCGUAGAUAUUCGCAAGAACACCAGUGGCGAAGGCGGCUUACUGGUCCGGUUCUGACGCUGAGGCGCGAAAGCGUGGGGAGCAA